UACGUAGGGGGCGAGCGUUGUCCGGAUUCAUUGGGCGUAAAGCGCUUUAAGGCGGUUCGGUAAGUCGGGUGUGAAACCUCCAGGCUCAACCUGGAGACGCCACUCGAUACUGCUCUGACUUGAGUUCGGUAGGGGAGUGGGGAAUUCCUGGUGUAGCGGUGAAAUGCGCAGAUAUCAGGAGGAACACCGGUGGCGAAGGCGCCACUCUGGGCCGAAACUGACGCUGAGGAGCGAAAGCGUGGGUAGCAAACAGG
This 254-nucleotide ribosomal RNA is filed under the name uncultured bacterium. RNAcentral's name for it is "partial 16S ribosomal RNA". It matches the Rfam family "Bacterial small subunit ribosomal RNA", at positions 524 to 776 of the family's 1533-position model. The record is from RNAcentral.